GUGCUCACUUCAGUAGCACAUAUAUUAACAUUGAAACGAUACUGGGAAGAUUAGCAUGGCCCUUGUGAAAAGAUGACAUACAAACAUACAAAUACAUGAAGCAUUCCAUAUUUUU
RNAcentral lists this small nuclear RNA (115 nucleotides) under Suricata suricatta (meerkat). Lineage: Eukaryota; Metazoa; Chordata; Mammalia; Carnivora; Herpestidae. The record is from RNAcentral.